RNAcentral lists this unclassified non-coding RNA (348 nucleotides) under soil metagenome. RNAcentral's name for it is "partial contains 5.8S ribosomal RNA, internal transcribed spacer 2, and large subunit ribosomal RNA". The stretch from base 1 to 120 matches the Rfam family "5.8S ribosomal RNA", at positions 35 to 154 of the family's 154-position model. The record is from RNAcentral.
GAUGAAGAACGCAGCGAAAUGCGAUAAGUAAUGUGAAUUGCAGAAUUCAGUGAAUCAUCGAGUCUUUGAACGCACAUUGCGCCCCCUGGUAUUCCGGGGGGCAUGCCUGUCCGAGCGUCAUUGCUGCCCUCAAGCACGGCUUGUGUGUUGGGCCCCCGUCCCCGGUUUCCCCCGGGGACGGGCCCGAAAGGCAGCGGCGGCACCGCGUCCGGUCCUCGAGCGUAUGGGGCUUUGUCACCCGCUCUGUAGGCCCGGCCGGCGCCAGCCGACACCCAACUUUAUUUCUAAGGUUGACCUCGGAUCAGGUAUGGAUACCCGCUGAACUUAAGCAUAUCAAUAAGCGGAGGA